CAUUAUAAAUAAUGAGAGAUUGGGGCAUGACUCUUUUAGGCUUUGUCAGAUUUUUUAAUGAAAUUCUGAUUUCAUUAUAGUUAAUUUUGUAGCUGUUUGCCUUUAUUUUUGAUUUGAUAAUCUUAGAAGAAAAUCACCUAUUCCUUGAAAGCUAGACAGAACUAAUUAAUUCAUUGGUUCAAUCAGUAGUUGUUGAGUGCUUAUUGUGUAUCAGGUGCUUUACAUAAUGAAUAGCAUCAGUUUUAAUAUUUCUGUUGAAUGCUUUUUCUUUUCUUU
RNAcentral lists this long non-coding RNA (276 nucleotides) under Homo sapiens (human). Its description in RNAcentral is "non-protein coding lnc-STARD10-4:1". The record is from RNAcentral. Lineage: Eukaryota; Metazoa; Chordata; Mammalia; Primates; Hominidae.